RNAcentral lists this ribosomal RNA (497 nucleotides) under uncultured bacterium. RNAcentral describes it as "partial 16S ribosomal RNA". It matches the Rfam family "Bacterial small subunit ribosomal RNA", at positions 28 to 507 of the family's 1533-position model. The record is from RNAcentral.
GAUGAACGCUGGCGGCGUGCCUAAUACAUGCAAGUCGAGCGAACAGACGCGGAGCUUGCGCCUCGGACGUUAGCGGCGGACGGGUGAAUAACACGUGUAUACCCUCCCUGUAAGACUGGGAUCACUUCGGGAAACCGGCGCUAAUCCCGGAUAAUAUCUUGCACCGCAGGGGUCGAUGGAAAAAGUCGGUUUUGCGGUCACUUAUAGCUGCAUCCGCGCCGCAUUAGCUGGUUGGUCCGGUAACGGCCUACCACGGCAAGGAUGCGUAACCGAGCUGCGGGGGGGAUAGGCCACCUGGGAACGUAGACACGGUCCAGACGCCUACGGGAGGCAGCAGUAGGGAAUCUGCCGCAAUGGGCGAAAGCCUGACGGAGUAACGCCGCGUGAGUGAUGAAGGUCUUCGGAUCGUAAAACUCGGUUAUUAGUGAAGAACAAAUGUGGAAUGAACUAUGGACGUAGUGACGGUACCGAAUAAGAAAGCCCCGGCUAACUACGUG